RNAcentral lists this microRNA (22 nucleotides) under Ananas comosus (pineapple). Its description in RNAcentral is "microRNA s0822_c113a". Lineage: Eukaryota; Viridiplantae; Streptophyta; Magnoliopsida; Poales; Bromeliaceae. The record is from RNAcentral.
AAUCGCUAGUAAUCGCCGGUCC